This is a non-coding RNA of Physcomitrium patens, 464 nucleotides long. Lineage: Eukaryota; Viridiplantae; Streptophyta; Bryopsida; Funariales; Funariaceae. The record is from RefSeq and is a predicted model, not a curated record.
AUCGUGUUCUCGUCGACGAGUUCGACUGCUCUGUGUGGAUCCAUAACGUAGUAGUCUUCUUUGAGAGUUACCUCUCGGAGCUCCACUUCGAAGUAUCUUGCGAACUUCUCCCAACACACCUACACAAACCGAACGCUGAUAUUAUCAUCCAGCUUCAGAUUUGUUGAGGUUUCCUUCAAGGCCGAACUUUCUAAUAUCAAGCCAGACUUUGCGAAAUGAAUGUUUAGUCGUAGAGUGCAAUGCACUCAAAAUGGCAAUGACCAGUGACAGAAAUCUACAGCCGUAACCUCCGCAAUUGAGUUUCUGAAGAGGUAAAGGGCUAAAACCUGAAGCUCAGUGGUAAUCGGGUACUCGUCCAUGUCAAUGUAGUUCUUGUUGAGGGCCGCCAUGAUGAGCUUGUCACACUCUGGCUCCAUCCAUGUCGUCACGAAGGAUGCUAGAUUUAAGCGAGGAUUGCCGUCCAA